RNAcentral lists this ribosomal RNA (483 nucleotides) under uncultured bacterium. RNAcentral describes it as "partial 16S ribosomal RNA". It matches the Rfam family "Bacterial small subunit ribosomal RNA", at positions 30 to 506 of the family's 1533-position model. The record is from RNAcentral.
AUUGAACGCUGGCGGCAGGCCUAACACAUGCAAGUCGAGCGGAUGAAGGGAGCUUGCUCCUGGAUUCAGCGGCGGACGGGUGAGUAAUGCCUAGGAAUCUGCCUGGUAGUGGGGGAUAACGUCCGGAAACGGGCGCUAAUACCGCAUACGUCCUGAGGGAGAAAGUGGGGGAUCUUCGGACCUCACGCUAUCAGAUGAGCCUAGGUCGGAUUAGCUAGUUGGUGGGGUAAAGGCCUACCAAGGCGACGAUCCGUAACUGGUCUGAGAGGAUGAUCAGUCAAACGGGAACUGAGAACCGGCCCCAGACCCCAGGGGAGGCAGCGGGGGGAAAUUUUGGAAAAGGGGGGAAAGCCUGAUCCAGCCAUGCCGCGUGUGUGAAGAAGGUCUUCGGAUUGUAGAGCACUUUAAGUUGGGGGGAAGGGAAGUAAGUUAAACCCUUGCUUUUUUGACUUUACCAACAAAAAAAGCCCCGGCUAACUUCGU